GAUGAACGCUGGCGGCGUGCCUAACACAUGCAAGUCGAGCGGUAUAUAUCUGAACAAAUCUUCGGAAGAGUGAUGGUAUAGAGAGCGGCGGACGGGUGAGUAACGCGUAGGCAACCUGCCCCAUACAGAGGGAUAGCCUCGGGAAACCGGGAUUAAAACCUCAUAACGCUGGGAGUUCACAUGGACACCUAGCCAAAGAUUUAUCGGUAUGGGAUGGGCCUGCGUCUGAUUAGCUAGUUGGUAAGGUAACGGCCUACCAAGACUACGAUCAGUAGCCGACCUGAGAGGGUGAUCGGCCACAUUGGAACUGAGACACGGUCCAAACUCCUACGGGUGGCUG
Molecule: ribosomal RNA, 340 nt
Filed under: uncultured Bacillota bacterium
Lineage: Bacteria; Bacillati; Bacillota
Description: bacterial SSU rRNA
Rfam family: Bacterial small subunit ribosomal RNA
Source: RNAcentral